RNAcentral lists this ribosomal RNA (301 nucleotides) under uncultured bacterium. RNAcentral describes it as "partial 16S ribosomal RNA". It matches the Rfam family "Bacterial small subunit ribosomal RNA", at positions 509 to 807 of the family's 1533-position model. The record is from RNAcentral.
CAGUAGCCGCGGGAAUACGAAGGGGGCAAGCGUUGUUCGGAAUUACUGGGCGUAAAGGGCGCGUAGGCGGCUUAUCAAGUCAGGCGUGAAAUUCCCGGGCUCAACCUGGGGGCUGCGUUUGAUACUGAUGAGCUUGAAUGCGGGAGAGGAUAGUGGAAUUCCCAGUGUAGAGGUGAAAUUCGUAGAUAUUGGGAAGAACACCGGUGGCGAAGGCGGCUAUCUGGCCCGUGAUUGACGCUGAGGCGCGAAAGCGUGGGGAGCAAACAGGAUUAGAUACCCCAGUAGUCCCUGUCUCUUAUAC